CACUUCGGUGGGGAUUAGUGGCGAACGGGUGAGUAACACGUGGGCAAUCUGCCCUUCACUCUGGGACAAGCCCUGGAAACGGGGUCUAAUACCGGAUAACACUCCUGUCCUCAUGGGCGGGGGUUAAAAGCUCCGGCGGUGAAGGAUGAGCCCGCGGCCUAUCAGCUUGUUGGUGAGGUAAUGGCUCACCAAGGCGACGACGGGUAGCCGGCCUGAGAGGGCGACCGGCCACACUGGGACUGAGACACGGCCCAGACUCCUACGGGAGGCAGCAGUGGGGAAUAUUGCACAAUGGGCGAAAGCCUGAUGCAGCGACGCCGCGUGAGGGAUGACGGCCUUCGGGUUGUAAACCUCUUUCAGCAGGGAAGAAGCGAAAGUGACGGUACCUGCAGAAGAAGCGCCGGCUAACUACGUGCCAGCAGCCGCGGUAAUACGUAGGGCGCAAGCGUUGUCCGGAAUUAUUGGGCGUAAAGAGCUCGUAGGCGGCUUGUCACGUCGAUUGUGAAAGCCCGGGGCUUAACUCCGGGUCUGCAGUCGAUACGGGCUAGCUAGAGUGUGGUAGGGGAGAUCGGAAUUCCUGGUGUAGCGGUGAAAUGCGCAGAUAUCAGGAGGAACACCGGUGGCGAAGGCGGAUCUCUGGGCCAUUACUGACGCUGAGGAGCGAAAGCGUGGGGAGCGAACAGGAUUAGAUACCCUGGUAGUCCACGCCGUAAACGGUGGGAACUAGGUGUUGGCGACAUUCCACGUCGUCGGUGCCGCAGCUAACGCAUUAAGUUCCCCG
This 781-nucleotide ribosomal RNA is filed under the name Streptomyces sp. Its description in RNAcentral is "bacterial SSU rRNA". It matches the Rfam family "Bacterial small subunit ribosomal RNA", at positions 76 to 871 of the family's 1533-position model. Lineage: Bacteria; Bacillati; Actinomycetota; Actinomycetes; Kitasatosporales; Streptomycetaceae. The record is from RNAcentral.